GCAGUCGAGCGCCCCGCAAGGGGAGCGGCAGACGGGUGAGUAACGCGUGGGAAUCUACCCAUCUCUACGGAACAACUCCGGGAAACUGGAGCUAAUACCGUAUACGUCCUUCGGGAGAAAGAUUUAUCGGAGAUGGAUGAGCCCGCGUUGGAUUAGCUAGUUGGUGGGGUAAUGGCCUACCAAGGCGACGAUCCAUAGCUGGUCUGAGAGGAUGAUCAGCCACACUGGGACUGAGACACGGCCCAGACUCCUACGGGAGGCAGCAGUGGGGAAUAUUGGACAAUGGGCGCAAGCCUGAUCCAGCCAUGCCGCGUGAGUGAUGAAGGCCCUAGGGUUGUAAAGCUCUUUCAACGGUGAAGAUAAUGACGGUAACCGUAGAAGAAGCCCCGGCUAACUUCGUGCCAGCAGCCGCGGUAAUACGAAGGGGGCUAGCGUUGUUCGGAAUUACUGGGCGUAAAGCGCACGUAGGCGGAUUGUUAAGUUAGGGGUGAAAUCCCAGGGCUCAACCCUGGAACUGCCUUUAAUACUGGCAAUCUCGAGUCCGAGAGAGGUGAGUGGAAUUCCGAGUGUAGAGGUGAAAUUCGUAGAUAUUCGGAGGAACACCAGUGGCGAAGGCGGCUCACUGGCUCGGUACUGACGCUGAGGUGCGAAAGCGUGGGGGAGCAAACAGGAUUAGAUACCCUGGUAGUCCACGCCGUAAACUAUGAGAGCUAGCCGUCGGCAAGUUUACUUGUCGGUGGCGCAGCUAACGCAUUAAGCUCUCCGCCUGGGGAGUACGGUCGCAAGAU
RNAcentral lists this ribosomal RNA (788 nucleotides) under Rhizobium sp. HAP3-21_Pa. RNAcentral's name for it is "bacterial SSU rRNA". It matches the Rfam family "Bacterial small subunit ribosomal RNA", at positions 57 to 894 of the family's 1533-position model. The record is from RNAcentral. Lineage: Bacteria; Pseudomonadati; Pseudomonadota; Alphaproteobacteria; Hyphomicrobiales; Rhizobiaceae.